RNAcentral lists this transfer RNA (61 nucleotides) under Onymocoris hackeri. RNAcentral describes it as "tRNA-Arg". Lineage: Eukaryota; Metazoa; Arthropoda; Insecta; Hemiptera; Thaumastocoridae. The record is from RNAcentral.
AGCAAAGAAGUAAAAUUUACAAUCAGUUUCGACCUGAUAAACAGAAAUAUUUUCCAUGCUU